This 254-nucleotide ribosomal RNA is filed under the name uncultured bacterium. Its description in RNAcentral is "partial 16S ribosomal RNA". It matches the Rfam family "Bacterial small subunit ribosomal RNA", at positions 524 to 776 of the family's 1533-position model. The record is from RNAcentral.
AACGUAGGACGCAAGCGUUAUCCGGAGUUACUGGGCGUAAAGCGCGGGCAGGCGGCUCGAUGCGUCUGAUGUGAAAUCUCCUCGCUCAACGGGGAGAGGCCAUUGGAAACGGUCGGGCUGGAGGGCAGUAGAGGCAGGCGGAAUUCCGGGUGUAGCGGUGGAAUGCGUAGAGAUCCGGAAGAACACCGGUGGCGAAGGCGGCCUGCUGGGACAUGGCUGACGCUGAGGCGCGACAGCGUGGGGGAGCAAACAGG